UUUUCCUCUGUGUUAGUACUGGUAGCUCUGUGCAUAAUAAAUUACGGUAUACAACAUAUUCCUUAUUUAAAUGAAUUUUGUUGAGUACCAAACCUAUUUCUGGUCAUAUUAUUUAAUGAUCCCUCUAACUCAGGAAGGAUAAUUCUAAGAAAACUGUUUCACAGGUAUAGCUCCUAGAACAUAAAAAAUCUGUAGAAGCUAGCUGAGAAUUCUGCAAGCAUGUCUGAAUGCCAAAUCAACUGAGCAGCUCCCUGGCUCAUGCACAUGCAAAACAUUUGAAUUUCCUGUUGGCUCAGAGACUUUUAGGAACCAGGCCACAGAUGCCUUGGACUUGGAAUUCAACUUGCAAGAGAGAGCAAGUCUGACCAGCAGGAGAUGGACCAUCUUCCUGAGAAGAGAUCCUGAAGCAUUGUACAAGCUGGAGAUUUUCAUUCCAAAUCAGACCUCACAAAACAUGAGGCAGAUAAACAUAAGGUGUAGACCACAUUUAUAAAAAGAUUUUUUUAAAUAUCGCUUUCCAACAAAUCAUUAGUCUUUUAUUUUUUUUUCUCUGCACAUAUGAAGUGACAGAAAAUCAAUAUCUGAAGGAAAGAGAGCAGCUGGGAACCUGGAGUUCAGCAUAGACAUUUUGCAUAAUAGAGAAUUCUUGUUUUCCAAGAAGCAAAAACAAGAAAAAUUAUUUUGUAUCCACUUUGCCUCCAGAUUUAAUUUAUUCAUUUUUUUUAGUAGAAAAAGGUGGAUUCUUUUUGGGAGAACUAUCAAACAACAAAGUGUCUGGAUGUCAUAGCAGCAUCCUGUAAAUGUCACUUUAGUUUCACCAGUGGUGAAACCUGUUUUGACCUUCUAGUAUGGAAAAAUAGCCCAAACGGCCUGUUUAAUAUACCAGAGAAAGCACAGUGUCUCCAAAGGGCCUGGCCUAAGUGAGCACCCAGAAUCCCAGAAAGCCAGGAAAUUUGAAGGCAGUCAGACUUGAUUUAAUUUUUUUUACUACAAGUCUCAUUUCAGAGAAUGAUUAACGGGAGAAGAGACAUAAAUGGCAAAGUCUUGAUCAAAGAAGCUGCUGUCAGGGUACCAUCUAGAUAAAUUAGGAAAAGAAUGCUCAGGUUUCUGUGAAAGAAGACUAAUGACAUCAAGUCAAGAUGAAAUAGAAAGAAGCAGCAUUGCAGGCUGGAAAUCAUAAAAGACUAGCCUGCCCUGACAAGAAGCCCUGAGAAAUUUCCCGAACUGGAAAGUAAUUGGAAUUGGAAAGGAAUUACUUUCUGUAAGUGCUGGGUCUUGAAGUUAUGCAGGACUGAAGAUGACCCAGGUACCAAACUUGCCUUUUGGAACCUGUCAAGACAAGUGAAGGAAUCUUCUGGAGGCAUCUGAAAGAGCAGCUGUUAGUAUCAGCUCUACACACUGCAGGUGUUCUGCAUCCCAUGUGCUCACUCUACUCAGCUAGGAUCAGUCCUUCCACUUAAAACCUCAAACGGGCCCACCUCAAGUGGGAGGCAAGUAGACAGUGGGUAAAAGGAGACUGUGAAACCAACAGCCAGUAAACAUUUGGGUAAUUUGGAGAACUUGUUUACAGGAAUGGCUGUCUCCUGGAGAGAGCAGUUGUUCUUGCUGGAAUUAAGAAAAAGCUUUACAAGUGAUCUGAAUGUACUUGUGCGAAGAGAGGCAUCUUAGAAAGUGGGAUUUGUCUUUUGGUAUACCAUAAAGGAUUUUAAAAAUGUAAAUAAAAAAACCUCCAAACCUCUUUCA
Cyanistes caeruleus (blue tit) is the source of this 1743-nucleotide long non-coding RNA. The record is from Ensembl. NCBI's taxonomy places the organism in Eukaryota, Metazoa, Chordata, Aves, Passeriformes, Paridae.